CAAGAGUUUUAUGCGAAGGCUAGUUUUCCAGGAGUCAUUAUGUGUGUUGAUGGUACGCACAUAAAAAUAGUGAAGCCAUCUGAAGAGGGGUUUCUAUAUUAUAAUAGAAAAGGUUUUUAUAGCAUCAAUGCUAUGGUGGUGUGCGAUAACAGAAUGCGUAUAAAAAGCAUUGAUGCCAGGUAUCCUGGGUGCAAUCACGACUCGCAGGUAUGGGGCUUAAGCAAGCUGAGAUCGCAUAUGGAACGGCGAUAUCGGGAAGGUGAAAGAAAACGCAUGGCUGUUAGGUGAUGCGGGGUAUCCAUUGCAGCCUUGGCUAAUGACUCCAUAUCGAUCUGUAAGUCGAAGCAGCCCGCAAAGUAAUUACAACAUGCGGCACUCCACAACAAGGAAUAUAGUAGAGCGGACGAUUGGGGUAUUGAAGAACCGUUUUCCGAUGCUUGUCGGGUGCUCGAGAACUACAUUACUCACCACACAAAGUCAGUCAAAUAAUAAACGUUGCCUGUGCUCUCCACAACAUUUGCAUUUACUACAAAGUGGGAGAUUUGAACGCAAAUGAAUUUAAUUUUGAAAGCCGUCAGGAGGAGGAGGAAGAAGAGCAAAGCAGUGACCCCGAUUAUACUUCCAUAGCAAAUCGUAUUCGAGACAACAUACUCGCUACUUUUUAAUAAAUUU
Long non-coding RNA from Bactrocera dorsalis (oriental fruit fly), 672 nucleotides. RefSeq lists it as uncharacterized. Lineage: Eukaryota; Metazoa; Arthropoda; Insecta; Diptera; Tephritidae. The record is from RefSeq and is a predicted model, not a curated record. The transcript is spliced from 3 exons.